Long non-coding RNA from Vidua chalybeata, 486 nucleotides. RefSeq lists it as uncharacterized. NCBI's taxonomy places the organism in Eukaryota, Metazoa, Chordata, Aves, Passeriformes, Viduidae. The record is from RefSeq and is a predicted model, not a curated record. The transcript has 3 exons.
CACCUGGGAACAGCCGCUCCAGCCACCGCAGCAGCCACGCCAGAAAUAAACCUUCUCAGCCAUGCAGGCAAGAGGAAUCAUAGCUCUAACAGAAAGAAGCAAGGAAAGAAAGGACUGCAGCAGCAAGAGACACUACAAAUAACCACUGUAGGAAAAAGUGACACCAUCUAUAUAUCCUCAUGGUGAAUAGAAAGUAAUUAAAGAAAAAGCCAUUCUGGAGGAGAACAUGGCCACCAUACAGUGAUUUGAUUAGAAAGUAACUCCAUUUAUCAAGCUGUACUGGAAGUUUUGAUUAUUCUGAAAGGAAUUCACAGAAGGAUCUGAGGAAAUAAAAAUAUUAAAAGGAGGAAAAUAUUAAGAAAAUCUGACAAUAAAGAGUAAUUUGAAGGGAGUUUAUCAAACUAACAUGAUCUAGAAAUCUAUGGAAUCUUAAUGUGUUAGCAAAAACACAUCAAGUAUACUUCUAAAAUUAUAAUAAUUUAAUAA